Lynx canadensis (Canada lynx) is the source of this 4358-nucleotide long non-coding RNA. NCBI's taxonomy places the organism in Eukaryota, Metazoa, Chordata, Mammalia, Carnivora, Felidae. The record is from Ensembl.
UGGUAAGUGCAGUGAAGGAUAGGCAUGCCUUCAUCCUGAGUCAAACAUGAUUCCCACGUGCACAAUAUGCUUUAGGAUCUGGUCGGAAUCAAAAGGAACCUUUCCAGAAACUAGGUCAUCAGGUCGAGGCUCCAAACACUUGAUCACCAGCUAGGUGUAGGAACCCCUUACCUCCAAAUCAAUGGUGCUUCUCUUUCCUGAGAGGAAGGAUAGGAAAAACCACCGAAUCCAGCAUCUCCUGUUUCUGAAUGAACAAUGCAGACCUCUUGCAGAAUUUCACUCAUGGGUGUCGCCAAUGGAGACUUCCUUGUACACUAGCCCUCGGGUCUUUUUCACUCCCCAGACAGCAUUCCUGCCAGGAGAUAGGAGUGGGCCCUUCAUUCUAACUUUAGCCCAUUCUCUUCUGUAAUGAAGACCUUUGGUGCUCAGGUUGCCUAUUGGCUUUGUAUUGCUCUUGUUUUCAAGGUACUUUCGACCUGGGAGCCAUUGAGAGCACGAGCCUCUGAAGAAUGUACUCUGUUUGAACUAGAAAAUUGCAGGAUCCACAGGUCUGUGUCAGCUACACAGCCCAGGUGCAAAUAUUGGUGUGGAGUUCCCAGUCAGUUCCGGAGCCUAUUGACAGCACUCAGUGUCUGGUAUCCCAGAGUGCCCACGUGCAAAUGUCGGCUUCUCAGAAUGAAGACACCGCGGUCAUCCAGGACAGUGAGGCAAGCCGGCUCCCCUUCACCCUCCAUAGCACUGCAGGCCAAGCACCAAGCACCCAGCCACUCAAGGCCCGUUUUCCUUUGGUAGAGCAGAGCCUGAUCGCUCUCACUGAACACAGGAGCACAGUGAGAAUUUGUGGCCUGCCCAGGGGUGCCAAGUGACUGAGGGAUGCCUCCAUGGCGCCUAACGGAGAAAAAAAAAAUACAUUCUCUAAAACACAGCAGGGCGAUAGGAAUGGGCACCAGGUGGGCCAAAGCUCCACCUUUCAAAAGGGAAUGGGCAUCCCCUUGCAGAGAUGUUUUGCUUCAUUUGCCUUCAGGCCAGAAGGAGACCCGCUCCCUGCCCAAAUCUCUGGCCAGCAUACACACCAAACAUCCUCUGCUGGGUCCCUCCAAACGCCCGGGACCUCUGAAUGCAUGCACACUUCUGAAACCCAGUGACUUAAUGAGGAAGGAGUCCUGUGGCAAAAACCCUCCCACAGUCACAGGCCCUGGACCACACUGUCAGGUCGAAGACAGAAGAUAGGACCCUGGAGACACUGAUUCUGAAAAGAUUGUGAGAAGACCCUUGUCUCUACAAGACAGCAACAAUGCAUCAAGCGGGAUGAGGAGGGCCAGAGCUCUUCAGAGCUUGGAAGGGGAAUUCUAUGGAGAAGGCAGUGCCCUGCACCAGCUCCUGGCAACCUGGCUAGAAGAAGAAACCCCAGACAGCUUAUGCAAAAGCGCCAUCUAGUGUCUCCAUUGGGAGCCAACUCAGCACCAGGCCUGCCUUCUUCCUUCAGAAGGACCUAGGGCACCCUGGGUCUUGGUCAGCUUUUGGUGGUUUUUGCAACAUUGAAUGGAGUGAGCAGCGACUGUGCUCUAGCUGCGACGUUCCCCCAGCUGCGGCUCCAAAGUGUGGAGAGGGGCAUUGGUGCCCUCUAACUGUAAGAGGCUCUUCCUGUGCAGACCAACUUCUGGAACCUUCGGCUCCUGUGUGACCUCUUUGAUUUUCAGAAGGAAAGCACAUCAAUCAGGCAGAGUAGGAAGUUGAGCUGGCUCCACCCACCCACCCACCCACCCAUCCCUUGCUACAAACAGCCAAGCACCAAGGUCAGGGUAUGGAGGCACAUUCUACUUUAGGAUAUCUAUCAGGUGCUGAUGGCUAUAAGUGAGCCUGGAACCGAGUGGGAAGCCGAUGCCCAUCCAACGGUGCCUGCUGAGGGAGUACCAGCUCUGAGACUCCUAAGGGUGAAAGAAGAGGCAGUCAGAAACACAGGAAGGGAGAGGAUAUGGCUACAGCCAGGACCAAAGGGCAUUCAAUAUUUCCAUCCAGUGGGGAUGCAAUCAAGGUGGAAUGGAGAUGUUUCUCUUCAUUUCCACUCGGCCCAGCAAGGGGGACAGUUCCCUGCUAAUACAUCUGGCAGAGCCAUUCCCGCACAUACCUCUCGGCUGGACACCUUCCGAUGCCCUUCCGAUGCCCUUCCGAUGUCCGUAUAGACCUGAAACCAAAAGGCCAAAGCCACUUUAGCUCCACUUAUCCCACAGUCACAAGGACUGUUCCCGUGGGACCUUUGCAAGCCGGAGAGAGUACUCUGAAAGACUGAAUUUGUAUGGACCCCAAGACGAACCUGGAUGGAUGAUAAAGCAACGUCAUGAAACUGGACACAACGAGGGCUAGAGUUCUUCCUGUUUAGAAGAACCUGACUAGCACCAUGUAUUUGCAAGCCGGCUUGCUCAGGAAUCACGAGCAACUUUGGUGUGCUUGGCUCCAGGAGUUCUGCCAAGGAUACCCGUUGGAGCCCUGUGAGCAGGAGGCCCACAUUCUCCCUUAAGAAACAGAGGGGAACUUUGGCUUCUAGUGCGUUUCUGCCCGUCAUAUCCAUCGAGAGGGUCAGCACUGGGUCUGAGAAAUGAAGAAUGUGCUUCCAGGCAACGAUCCAGAGGUGGGAACGAGGUCUUGGUCCACUGUUUAUUCAAAGGGCUUUUUGUGCACCGAUCAGGUUGUGGAGCAUACUGCACUUGCCAGAUGCUCUGUUCUUUUGAUUGAGGGUAAUUCUACCCAUUAGGGAAGGGGUCCCGGCUGGUACCCAUUCCCAUGAUCCUAUACCCUGCCCACCACCUAACGUUCAGGGACGGGGGGGGAUAGAUGUCCUCUGGGACAUCAGACUCUGAGAGCCACACGUCAGGUCAGCGAAGCCUUGGAAACUCACCCGCAAAUCGGGGACCUGGGUUGCUGUAGGGGACAGACACAGGGUCUCCAUGUGAUAACUGACAAGUUAAGAAAACAGCAAUUAGAGAAGACUGAUUCCAGGGUGAGUCAAAGCUGUGCAUUCAAGUGGGCACGGGGAGAACCGAGGAAAGAGACCAUGACUUUCCCUUCCCCUUGACCCACACAGCCAGCAGGUGGGAUCCACCCCUAACUUCAGGCUUAGCCUACCCACGAGCAUUCUCCCUGGGCAUCCUCACACACACUUGGUAUAGGCAUGCCCAUAUCAUUCUGAAACCAAACUGAGAAGGGCCCCAUUGAAUACCGUUAUCAGCAUCACAAGCACACCACCAAACAAGGAUGUUACCCUGGAACGCUGUCCCGGAACAGUGUUCACCGAAGCCCUCUUUCAUCUGCAAAGUUCAGGAGUGGCAAUGGAGACACACACUGCCAAGGUUCUUCACCACACAGAUUCAGAGAAAGUUGACAGUGAAGAAGCCAACGCACUCUCCUAUCAACCAGGUUGUUUCUGGAGUAAGAAAAGCCUGUGGGAUUAGGCCAAAGGGCCCUCUGAAGGACUACACCUGGGAGCCCUUUCAGCAAGAAAGCCUGCCUUCUUUCUUCAGGAGCCAGGGAUUUCUGGCUUGGUCGAUCGCUGCCACGUUUCCCAUCCCUUGAGGGAGGCAGCAGCGUUUGAGCUGUAGCUAUGAGGCUCUGAGGGCUCUUGCUCAGGAAUCUGCAACAAGGACUUGGUUCCCUCGUUCCUGGCAAAGCCUCUUCCAAUGCUGACCCCCUCCUCAUUGCUACUGACCAUGUGCAAACUGCUUCUCAGAAUAAAGGCAACUGAGUCGUCCGGGCCAGUGAGGUAAGCUGGCCCUCCUCACCCUCCAUAGCACAGCCGACCAAGCACCAAGCAACCAGGCACUCCAAGGCCUGCUUUCCUCUGGUAGAGCAGAACCUGAUACUUCUGACUGAACACAAGAGCAGAGUGGGAGAUUGCAGCCUAGCCAGGUUUGCCGGCUGUGUUAGUGAUGGCUCCUUGGUGCCUAAGGGAGAAAAAAUAAUACAUUGUCAGACACACAGCAAGGGAAAGGAAAUGGGUGCCACGUGGGCCAAAGCUCCACAUUUAUGGGGUGGGAACGUGGAUCCACGUGGAGAAAUGGCUUCCUUCAUUUGUCUCUGGCCAGAAGGAGUCCUGCUCUCUGACCAAAUCUCCAGCUUAGCCUAAACACGAGACAUCCUCCGCUGGUCCCCUUCACAUCCCUGAGCUCUGAAUGGCUGCAUACUUCUGAAACCCAGUGAAUUAGUGAAGAAGUAGCCCUGUGGCAAUGUCUCUCCCGUAGUCCGAAGGACUGGAUCCGACUCCCAGGUGGCAGACGGAGGAUAGACUCUUGGGACCCUGAUUCUGAAGGGAUUGCGGGAAGAGCCUUGUCUCCACAAGAGAGCAAAGGUAUGUUAAGGUCGAU